RNAcentral lists this unclassified non-coding RNA (217 nucleotides) under Hevea brasiliensis (rubber tree). Lineage: Eukaryota; Viridiplantae; Streptophyta; Magnoliopsida; Malpighiales; Euphorbiaceae. The record is from RNAcentral.
GGAAAACUCUAGUAUCUCUAUAAAUAGGCUCUAGUAAUCUAUCAAAUGCUUUUAGUUGACAAAUUUGAAUGACUUUAGUUCAAUCAAUGCUUUCAAAAUUUGAAAACAGCACAAGGCAUAUUGCAAUAUCAAUCCAUUAGCUUUGUCUUAAAGUUGAUGUUUCUGGGGUUCCGGGGAAAUUAUAGCAAGCAUUUCAUUUCCUUCUGCAUGGUUUGAU